GCCGAUGUAGCUCAGCGGCUAGAGCAACCGCCUUGUAAGCGGUAGGUCGUGGGUUCGAACCCCACCAUCGGCU
RNAcentral lists this transfer RNA (73 nucleotides) under Candidatus Hydrogenedentota bacterium. RNAcentral's name for it is "Candidatus Hydrogenedentes bacterium tRNA-Thr". It matches the Rfam family "tRNA". Rfam says of the family: Transfer RNA (tRNA) molecules are approximately 80 nucleotides in length. Their secondary structure includes four short double-helical elements and three loops (D, anti-codon, and T loops). Lineage: Bacteria; Pseudomonadati; Candidatus Hydrogenedentota. The record is from RNAcentral.